Molecule: long non-coding RNA, 361 nt
Filed under: Ananas comosus (pineapple)
Lineage: Eukaryota; Viridiplantae; Streptophyta; Magnoliopsida; Poales; Bromeliaceae
Description: long non-coding RNA (ACOM_LNC031502)
Source: RNAcentral
GAGUUAGGAAUAUGUACCUAACAAGUGAUAAUAUCACAAAAUCUGACCGACCGUCUCUAGAGCAAGUGAUAAAAAAUUUAAUAAUUGAUAUCUGAGACCUAAGUUCGAAUACUAGUUGAUUCGUAUUUCUAUCUAAGUUUAUUUCUAAAUAAAAUAAACGAAGUGGGUAGCGUGCUACCUAUCUCUCAAAAAAUAUCACAAAAUCUGCACUAUUGCCGCGACUAGGGUGAGAGCAUUUGUUGAUCCGAUUUUAUUUUUGAAGGUUUUUCUAAAACCGAAUCUAAUUAGCAUAAAUCCAACCAAAAUAAUUCAGUCGGUUCCAUUUGAUUUCUUUCAUUAUUAAAAUAUUUUUAUUAAUACU